This is a long non-coding RNA of Hemicordylus capensis (graceful crag lizard), 2593 nucleotides long. RefSeq lists it as uncharacterized. The record is from RefSeq and is a predicted model, not a curated record. Lineage: Eukaryota; Metazoa; Chordata; Lepidosauria; Squamata; Cordylidae. The transcript has 12 exons.
CUCAGUGGCUGCUGGGCUAAGGAAGUGCUGAUAGGUGGCACUGUGAGACCGAGAGAGCAGCCUCCGUGCCAGCUCCCCUCUGUGCUCAUGGCUAGGCUUGGCCAUGAUUCCUUCCUUCCUCCUCUGCAAGACACGGCUUCAUUAUGGUGCAACGGGGAGUUCCAGCUAAUGUUACUCUUGCUUCACCAAAGAAUUCAAGCACAUCUAGGAACAAGGACUAAAGAACACAGUGUUCUAUUGCGGGGGGAGCCAUCGAAGAAGAGGGACAGAAAGAGGCAAUCUUCAUAAUCAAAUUGGUGGCAGCACUUAGGGAUGACUCCAAGCUUCCCCAUCUCUCCUGAAGGAAUGGAGCCCAAGCUGCCUCAUCCCAGCCAGAGAGCCCCUCUGCGUAAUCCUCGGAGUGGGUGGCUGACAGCAAAGAUGAAUGGAUUUAAUCACACUGCUUAGAGGGCACCAUCUGAAGUUUCGUGUAUGAGGAGGAAGCUGCUGGCCUGGCCCUUAUGCAUUGCUUUUCCUUCUGGCAACCUGUGAGCAGGGACUGCACUGUCAGACCACAAUAAUCAGCCUACAGCUACAAACUUUAAAAGAAAGAGAGAAAUUAAAUUAGAAAUGAGAACCAGUAAAAGCCAAAAAUCUUUUUAAAAGGCAGUUUUCUUAAGCAGACAGCAGUCUGUAUCUUCAAGAACCAUUAGAAUCAGUUUCAACCGGGUCUUUUCACCUAAGACUGAGGACCACUUUGCCCAUUGACAACUGUGUAUAUUCUUCAGUUUGCCCUUCAGUGCUGCAGGAUUAGGGAGAAGCAUCCCUCACCUGUGCCCUCCCCAAAUAAAUGACACCAAAAGGAAAUAAGAUUGUACAUGUGUUGAACCUAACAUGAAUAGGACUUAUGCUUCAUGGAAAGAAAUGAGACUCCACUGGAUUCAAUGGCUUAUAUUCCCAGAGUUUGUCGACAAUGGAAGCAGCCCAUGUGUAUGGUGAGAUACCGUCUGUGAGCAAACAGUGCCAAGUCCUGCUGGAACCAGCCGAGCAAGCAGUGCUGAGUGUUCGCUUCUUUAUGAAAGGGAGGACUCAGAGAAUGGUCACCUUACAGAGAGCAAAUGAUGGGAUAAAAAUUGUAGGUAUGGUAGCCCCUUCUGAGGGCAUUUUACCACCAAAACUUCAGGUUUGCAAAGCACACCCAAUGGUUAUAGCUGUCCUGACACAGAAAGUCAGACUUACAGGAAUGCUCUGGAAACUGGUGGUUUGCAGUGAGCAGCCUAUUGCUUUGGAGAAAUCCGCAAGCAGGACUUGAAUCUUUCUUCCCACUGAUGUUCCCCAGCCACAGGGAAGGCAUUUCUUCAAAAUAUUCACAGAGAGGGUACUUCCUACACCCAAAAGCCAUGGCAGGCAAGAGCGGAGCAGAAACCCAGCAAAGUGCCUAGGCUUAUGGAAGUGAAGAUGCAUGCCACGGGAAAAAGAAGUGCCCAGGGCGCUUUCCAGAUUAGAUCCUGCAACUGGGUCACAUCGGAUCUCGGAAGUGUGCUUUCACACUUCCUGCGUUGUGACACCGCAGUCCUUAUGUGGACAGCAGGGUGCCAUUCACAUUGCCAAUGCCUUGUCUUGAAUUUAAUCACUGCACUAUAGAGCUAAGAUGUUGUAUGUCUGGUGUAAGGAAGUUGCUGUUUGGGGGGGUUGUUAGUUGCUGCGAGACUGCUCCCCCUGCUGUUUACAUUUUCAAUGAGACUUGCCUGAACGGAGGCAUUUUGCUGCUCUUGAGCAGCUGGUCUGGAAAGCACCCUAAUGAGGAAGUGGAGGCAUGCCAUAGAGACUGGAGAGACCCGAGUUCAAAUCCCCAUUCAGCCAUGAUACGAGCUGGGUGACUGUGGGCCAGUCACAUCUCUCCCAGACUAACCUACUUCACAGGGUUGUUGUGAGGAGAAACAUAAGUAUGUAGUACACUGCUCUGGGCUCCUUGGAGGAAGAGCGGGAUAUAAAUGUAAAUAAAUAAAUAAAUAAAAUAAUUUGUCCAGACAUCGUCCUACAAUAUUCCACACUGAUUUUUUCAGGAGAAUUUAAAAGUACUCUCUAAAAAGACAGUUACUUCAUGCACUGAAGUGUUGAUUGUCAUGAAAAAAGCUUGGAAGGGCCAUUUGCCAUUUGAACACCCGGGAACUGUUACUGUAGUCAAGCUGCUAUAUAUCACCACCUGGAAAACCAGGCAUGUAGGAAGCCACUGGCAGUGUGGGUGCAACCCACCAGUGGCAGUUCCUAGGUCUCCUAGCCACACCCCCUGUGUCUGACAUCAGAUGCAGGGGGCAGAUGGAGUGGCUCCACAGGGAGUGGUGGCCGGGUUCUCUGGACCCAUCCACACAAUGGUGGCUCCGCCCCUGUGGAAAACUCCUUAUUUCUAGAAAUAUUAAAAAAUGCCUCCUUAAAAAAUGCCUAUCUUAAUUUAAGUUUCAUGCGGACUCCUUUCUAUACAUCAAGUUUCUUGCUCUUCUCACAAAGCAUACCAUUCUUAUGUGGCUUAGCCACAGUGCUGAAAAGGUAUGAUGCAGUGACAACUGCAAAGAUGAUAUUUAUCUUCUUCUGAAUACAAUGUUACUUGCUCACA